CCUACGGGAGGCUGCAGUGGGGAAUAUUGCACAAUGGGGGAAACCCUGAUGCAGCGACGCCGCGUGAGUGAAGAAGUAUUUCGGUAUGUAAAGCUCUAUCAGCAGGGAAGAAAAUGACGGUACCUGAUUAAGAAGCCCCGGCUAACUACGUGCCAGCAGCCGCGGUAAUACGGAGGAUGCGAGCGUUAUCCGGAGUUAUUGGGUUUAAAGGGUGCGCAGGCGGAAGCGGCAAGGCAGCGGUAAAAUUGCGGGGCUCAACCUCGCCGAGCCGGUGAAACUGCUCUUGGAACUGCAUGGCUGGAGUACAGGAGGGGCAGGCGGAAUUCCUAGUGUAGCGGUGAAAUGCGUAGAUAUUAGGAGGAACACCGGUGGCGAAGGCGGCUUACUGGACUGUAACUGACACUGAGGCUCGAAAGCGUGGGGAGCAAACAGGAUUAGAUACCCUAGUAGUC
Molecule: ribosomal RNA, 452 nt
Filed under: uncultured bacterium
Lineage: Bacteria
Description: partial 16S ribosomal RNA
Rfam family: Bacterial small subunit ribosomal RNA
Source: RNAcentral